RNAcentral lists this ribosomal RNA (490 nucleotides) under uncultured bacterium. Its description in RNAcentral is "bacterial SSU rRNA". It matches the Rfam family "Bacterial small subunit ribosomal RNA", at positions 15 to 518 of the family's 1533-position model. The record is from RNAcentral.
GAUCUGGCUCAGAACGAACGCUGGUGGCGUGUCUUAUACAUGCAAGUCGAGCGAGGCAGCAAUGCCGAGCGGCGAACGGGUGAGUAACGCGUAAGCAAUCUGCCCCAUAUCAGGAAAUACCCGUGCCAACGCGCGGUUAAUGUCCAGGAGAGUGGCCCUCUGCAUGGAGGGUUGACUAGAGAUUUAUCGGUAUGGGAUGAGCUUGCGUCCGAUUAGCUAGUUGGCGGGGCAACGGCCCACCAAGGCGACGAUCGGUAGCCGGCCUGAGAGGGUGAUCGGCCACAUUGGGACUGAGAUACGGCCCAGACUCCUACGGGAGGCAGCAGUAGGGAAUAUUGCACAAUGGGGGAAACCCUGAUGCAGCAGCGCCACGUGUGGGAAGAAGCAUUUCGGUGUGUAAACCACUGUCAUGAGGGAAUAAGGCCCUUAUUCGUAAGGGAUUGAAUGUACCUUGAGAGGAAGCACCGGCAAACUUCGUGCCAGCCGCCGC